This 853-nucleotide long non-coding RNA is filed under the name Homo sapiens (human). Its description in RNAcentral is "HSALNT0008399". The record is from RNAcentral. Lineage: Eukaryota; Metazoa; Chordata; Mammalia; Primates; Hominidae.
UUUUUAGGGAAAAGUAAGACACCAAAACAUUUUAAAAUUAAAGCAUUAACUGGUUUUCCAUUUGCUAAACUCUUUUUGAUAUGAAUGAUAAAUCAUUUUUUCCUUAAGACUACAGCAUUGCUAAUUUUCUCCAUAUGUGUACAAUUUGUCUUUGACCUUUAACAAAUGUCCUCUAGGCAGUCCACUUACCAUCCAAGAACAACGCCACAACAUCAUUUUACUUGCACACAAAGACUUGAAAGCUUCAUAAAAAUAAAUGAUCAUAUUUAAAAGCAAUGUCUCUUUCCAAUAAAUGAUUUUAUGUGUUACAGACACAUUUAGUAUUAAGCAUCAUGUAUAUUUAAUAUCACAAUGUCUACUUCAGUGUCCCAAAAAGCCUUUAUUCACUUUAUAGUUUCCAUUACUGAAGAGCCAACUUUCGGUUCUCCCACAAUUGUGUAAAGUGCAGGCAAGCCACAAGAGCUUCUAGUUUUAGCUUGCAGCCCGUGGGACCACGAUAAUUGUUAUGAAGCCAUUAAUUCUACCUCAGCAGUUUCAACUGUCAGGUACAUGUAACAAUAAUUGCACUUAAUGAAUGCUGCUCAAUUUAUUAAGUACAAAAUGAAAACCAGUAUUCUUUUAUAUGCAGCACUGAGGUUUUCAAUCACUCAAGGUAAACUGCAUAGACAUUUGCAAGAGCGAAGAGAGAAGAAUUUCUGAAAACAUAAGAUGAAAAGGUAUCACUUUUAGGAUCCCAGAGGCAUCUGCUUCCAAUAAGUAUGCUCUGCCUGUUCAGUUGUCCAAUGUGAACAAUCACAAUUAGUUUAUACCGUGGAAUCAUCAAGUCCUUGACCUGGGCUUUAAUAACCUAGAA